GAGGUAAUAUGGUACCUGACCAGCCUCUCGAAGCACUUCACCAUUAUGGGAGUGAGUGCUACAGGGCGGUAAUCGUUGAGACAUUGUAUGUUGAAUUUU
This is a long non-coding RNA of Amblyraja radiata (thorny skate), 99 nucleotides long. RefSeq lists it as uncharacterized. Lineage: Eukaryota; Metazoa; Chordata; Chondrichthyes; Rajiformes; Rajidae. The record is from RefSeq and is a predicted model, not a curated record. The transcript is spliced from 3 exons.